GGAAGGAUCAUUAUUGAAAUAAACCUGAUGGGUUGCUGCUGGUUCUCUAGGGAGCAUGUGCACACCUUGUCAUCUUUAUAUCUCCACCUGUGCACCUUUUGUAGACCCUUUCAGGGUCUAUGUCGCUUCAUUUACCCCAAUGUAUGUUAAUAGAAUGUUGUGCUUAUUUAUAAUAU
Molecule: unclassified non-coding RNA, 176 nt
Filed under: uncultured fungus
Lineage: Eukaryota; Fungi
Description: sequence contains ITS1, 5.8S rRNA gene, ITS2 and 28S rRNA gene
Source: RNAcentral